Long non-coding RNA from Brassica napus (rape), 2110 nucleotides. RefSeq lists it as uncharacterized. The transcript has 4 exons. The record is from RefSeq and is a predicted model, not a curated record. Lineage: Eukaryota; Viridiplantae; Streptophyta; Magnoliopsida; Brassicales; Brassicaceae.
GAGAGAGAGACCUCUCUCCACCCAUUGAAUUAAGAACAUUUUAUUUGUCAACGGAUCUCUCAUAAAAAAAAUAGUAUGGGUAUUAACAAAACUCUGAUAAAAUGUUUGUUCAUUGUGAUAUUAGCAGUUUCGAUGUUCAAUCACAAAGUUUUGACUUCAGGUGCAGAGAUCCAAAAAUUCUCAUAUGACCACUGUAAUACUUUGUGUUCGGAAACAUAUGGAUGGUUUGAGUGUCAACAUGACUGUUUUAGAGCUGGUUACACAGAUUUUGGAAGCUGUGCUUCCCGUUCUCCUAAAGAGCCUGAGCGAUGUUGUUGCCAAAACAAAUAGACUCAUCUUUUCUCUGAAAAUGGUGAUUUAACCUUUAAAAUCCUUAAACUAUUGCACUUGGUUUGUCUGUUGCAAUAAAUGGGACAAUAAAAAAAUAUGUUACAAUUAUACAUUCCAGUUUUUUUUCUCUGCACCUUGCAAACUUGAACUUGGAUUUUCCAUCAUUUUCAGUUAUAUAUUUACAGUUGUGAGUACCACUCAGAAUAUAAAACAUUUGAGUAUUAAAACUGUUAAUAUGAAAUAUCGAUUAUAUUAUUCAUUACUCAAAAUUUAAUUUUCAUACACUUUCUAUACAGUAGAAACAGAUAAUCAAACUUUUAUGAAUUGUUUCUUAUCAUUAUUCAUUACUCAAAUAAAUGCAAUAAGUUAUUUUGACAAAAUCUACAAAUUUAGCACAAAAUAUAUGGAAAUUAAUUAAUAGUAAGACUUUCCCAGAGACCAAAAAAUAUAUAUAUAUAGAGAGAGAGACCUCUCUCCACCCAUUGAAUUAAGAACAUUUUAUUUGUCAACGGAUCUCUCAUAAAAAAAAUAGUAUGGGUAUUAACAAAACUCUGAUAAAAUGUUUGUUCAUUGUGAUAUUAGCAGUUUCGAUGUUCAAUCACAAAGUUUUGACUUCAGGUGCAGAGAUCCAAAAAUUCUCAUAUGACCACUGUAAUACUUUGUGUUCGGAAACAUAUGGAUGGUUUGAGUGUCAACAUGACUGUUUUAGAGCUGGUUACACAGAUUUUGGAAGCUGUGCUUCCCGUUCUCCUAAAGAGCCUGAGCGAUGUUGUUGCCAAAACAAAUAGACUCAUCUUUUCUCUGAAAAUGGUGAUUUAACCUUUAAAAUCCUUAAACUAUUGCACUUGGUUUGUCUGUUGCAAUAAAUGGGACAAUAAAAAAAUAUGUUACAAUUAUACAUUCCAGUUUUUUUUCUCUGCACCUUGCAAACUUGAACUUGGAUUUUCCAUCAUUUUCAGUUAUAUAUUUACAGUUGUGAGUACUACUCAGAAUAUAAAACAUUUGAGUAUUAAAACUGUUAAUAUGAAAUAUCGAUUAUAUUAUUCAUUACUCAAAAUUUAAUUUUCAUACACUUUCUAUACAGUAGAAACAGAUAAUCAAACUUUUAUGAAUUGUUUCUUAUCAUUAUUCAUUACUCAAAUAAAUGCAAUAAGUUAUUUUGACAAAAUCUACAAAUUUAGCACAAAAUAUAUGGAAAUUAAUUAAUAGUAAGACUUUCCCAGAGACCAAAAAAUAUAUAUAUAUAGAGAGAGAGACCUCUCUCCACCCAUUGAAUUAAGAACAUUUUAUUUGUCAACGGAUCUCUCAUAAAAAAAAUAGUAUGGGUAUUAACAAAACUCUGAUAAAAUGUUUGUUCAUUGUGAUAUUAGCAGUUUCGAUGUUCAAUCACAAAGUUUUGACUUCAGGUGCAGAGAUCCAAAAAUUCUCAUAUGACCACUGUAAUACUUUGUGUUCGGAAACAUAUGGAUGGUUUGAGUGUCAACAUGACUGUUUUAGAGCUGGUUACACAGAUUUUGGAAGCUGUGCUUCCCGUUCUCCUAAAGAGCCUGAGCGAUGUUGUUGCCAAAACAAAUAGACUCAUCUUUUCUCUGAAAAUGGUGAUUAUAACCUUUAAAAUCCUUAAACUAUUGCACUUGGUUUGUCUGUUGCAAUAAAUGGGACAAUAAAAAAAUAUGUUACAAUUAUACAUUCCAGUUUUUUUUCUCUGCACCUUGCAAACUUGAACUUGGAUUUUCCAUCAUUUUCAGUUAUAUAUUUACAGUUGUGAGUACUACUCAGA